AGCAUGUGGUUUAAUUCGAAGCAACGCGAAGAACCUUACCAGGGCUUGACAUGCCGCCGACCGGUGCAGAGAUGCAUCUUUAUCCUUCGGGGUACAGCGGACACAGGUGGUGCAUGGUUGUCGUCAGCUCGUGUCGUGAGAUGUUGGGUUAAGUCCCGCAACGAGCGCAACCCUUGUCUUUAGUUGCCAUCAUUAAGUUGGGCACUCUAAAGAGACUGCCGAUGACAAAUCGGAGGAAGGUGGGGAUGACGUCAAAUCAUCAUGCCCUUUAUGUCCUGGGCUACACACGUGCUACAAUGGUCGGUACAACGAGAAGCAAGUCAGCGAUGGCAAGCAAAUCUCUAAAAGCCGAUCCCAGUUCGGAUUGCAGGCUGCAACUCGCCUGCAUGAAGUCGGAGUUGCUAGUAAUCGCGGAUCAGAAUGCCGCGGUGAAUGCGUUCCCGGGUCUU
This 449-nucleotide ribosomal RNA is filed under the name uncultured Eubacteriales bacterium. Its description in RNAcentral is "bacterial SSU rRNA". It matches the Rfam family "Bacterial small subunit ribosomal RNA", at positions 936 to 1382 of the family's 1533-position model. Lineage: Bacteria; Bacillati; Bacillota; Clostridia; Eubacteriales. The record is from RNAcentral.